This 496-nucleotide ribosomal RNA is filed under the name uncultured bacterium. RNAcentral describes it as "partial 16S ribosomal RNA". It matches the Rfam family "Bacterial small subunit ribosomal RNA", at positions 28 to 506 of the family's 1533-position model. The record is from RNAcentral.
GAUGAACGCUGGCGGCGUGCCUAAUACAUGCAAGUCGAGCGAACAGACGAGGAGCUUGCUCCUCUGACGUUAGCGGCGGACGGGUGAGUAACACGUGGAUAACCUACCUAUAAGACUGGGAUAACUUCGGGAAACCGGAGCUAAUAACGGAUAAUAUAUUUAACCGCAUGGUUCAAUAGUGAUAGACGUUUUUGCUGUCACUUAUAGAUGGAUCCGCGCCGCAUUAGCUAGUUGGUAAGUUAACGGCUUACCAAGGCAACGAUGCGUAACCGACCUGAGAGGGUGAUCGACCACACUGGAACUGAGACACGGGCCAGACUCCUACGGGAGGCAGCAGUAGGGAAGCUUCCGCAAUGGGGGAAAGCCUGACGGAGCAACGCCGCGUGAGUGAUGAAGGUCUUCGGAUCGUAAAACUCUGUUAUGAUGGAAGAACAAAUGUGUAAGUAACUAUGCACGUCUUGACGGUACCUAAUCAGAAAGCCACGGCUAACUACGU